RNAcentral lists this long non-coding RNA (859 nucleotides) under Betta splendens (Siamese fighting fish). RNAcentral's name for it is "lncRNA (ENSBSLG00000016047.1)". Lineage: Eukaryota; Metazoa; Chordata; Actinopteri; Anabantiformes; Osphronemidae. The record is from RNAcentral.
UAAUAUGAAGUCAUUAAUACUAGAGGACAGUCAGGUGAGUUAAAUGUUGACGUUUAUGUGACAAAGGAGGACUCAGGCCUCAUGGGAGUUUGACCCAGAUCCUUGAGAGUGCGCAUGGUCUUCAAGCACCUUGUUGUCAACUAUGAGUGUAUUUCUACUUUCUGGUCUGAUUUGGCCUGAGUGUUUUAAGAAAUACUUAACGUCAAACUGCUGAGAUGUGUCCCUGAUCGUUACCUCACCCUGUUUCCUCACUUCGACAUGAGAAGGCGGACGGCUUCGUAACUGCACCGCACAAUAAAUCCUGAUGAAGCCUCUGUGUUUGUUCUGUACCUGUAUAAAAGCAGUUCUGGAUCGUAGCAGCGCUACAACAUCCACCGUCCUCCACACUGUCUGCUGACCCUGUGAAGACUUGGCUUGAAACCAUGCUGAAGGUAGUGUUCAUGCUGUGCGGCCUCCUGUGCCUCACUCUGGCUGAGCCUAUGGAUGAGAAGGUGCUUGAACGUCAUGCACGCUCACAUGGCUCUGACUCUAACUCCAUUGAGCAUUUACCUAAACCUAAGCCUAAUCCUAAUCCUAACGUGCCUGCCAAUGAUCCAUAUUUCAAGAUGUUGCAGGACAUUUUUGCCUUUUUGGCCAAACUGCCAACUCCACCACCUCCUGCUACUACUACUACUGCAGCAGCUACCUCCACCACAGCUGCCUCCACCACAGCCACUGCUAAACCUGCUACUACAUAAAAUCUUAAACAUAGAGCACUAAAUGAAUGUGUUACCAGCUAACAUGUCUUAACGAAUCAAGAUAAACUGAUCUGUAAUAUCUGCUGAAUAAAGAAGAGAAAAGGAAAAAAUGUCUAAGUGUG